This 274-nucleotide ribosomal RNA is filed under the name uncultured bacterium. Its description in RNAcentral is "partial 16S ribosomal RNA". It matches the Rfam family "Bacterial small subunit ribosomal RNA", at positions 523 to 796 of the family's 1533-position model. The record is from RNAcentral.
AUACGGAGGGUGCAAGCGUUAUCCGGAAUCAUUGGGUUUAAAGGGUCCGCAGGCGGGAAAAUAAGUCAGUGGUGAAAGCCUACAGCUCAACUGUAGAACUGCCAUUGAAACUGUUUUUCUUGAGUAUAGAUGAAGUGGGCGGAAUACAUCAUGUAGCGGUGAAAUGCAUAGAUAUGAUAUAGAACACCGAUUGCGAAGGCAGCUCACUAAGCUAUUACUGACGCUCAGGGACGAAAGCGUGGGGAGCGAACAGGAUUAGAAACCCUAGUAGUCC